Rosa chinensis is the source of this 152-nucleotide long non-coding RNA. RefSeq lists it as uncharacterized. The transcript has 3 exons. The record is from RefSeq and is a predicted model, not a curated record. NCBI's taxonomy places the organism in Eukaryota, Viridiplantae, Streptophyta, Magnoliopsida, Rosales, Rosaceae.
CCUUUCCAGCUACUUGACCCUCUACUUGAAAUUCUAGACUAUAAUCAUUUUGAGCAAUCCUCCUCCAUGCAGAUUUAGCAGUAGAGCACAUAUCUCUAGCUCUUCUCAAACCAAGACCACCCAAGACUCAACUCUUAGCUAGGUUUAGAAGA